Molecule: ribosomal RNA, 685 nt
Filed under: Bacillus subtilis
Lineage: Bacteria; Bacillati; Bacillota; Bacilli; Caryophanales; Bacillaceae
Description: bacterial SSU rRNA
Rfam family: Bacterial small subunit ribosomal RNA
Source: RNAcentral
UGGGCGUAGAGGGCUCGCAGGCGGUUUCUUAAGUCUGAUGUGAAAGCCCCCGGCUCAACCGGGGAGGGUCAUUGGAAACUGGGGAACUUGAGUGCAGAAGAGGAGAGUGGAAUUCCACGUGUAGCGGUGAAAUGCGUAGAGAUGUGGAGGAACACCAGUGGCGAAGGCGACUCUCUGGUCUGUAACUGACGCUGAGGAGCGAAAGCGUGGGGAGCGAACAGGAUUAGAUACCCUGGUAGUCCACGCCGUAAACGAUGAGUGCUAAGUGUUAGGGGGUUUCCGCCCCUUAGUGCUGCAGCUAACGCAUUAAGCACUCCGCCUGGGGAGUACGGUCGCAAGACUGAAACUCAAAGGAAUUGACGGGGGCCCGCACAAGCGGUGGAGCAUGUGGUUUAAUUCGAAGCAACGCGAAGAACCUUACCAGGUCUUGACAUCCUCUGACGAUCCUAGAGAUAGGACGUCCCCUUCGGGGGCAGAGUGACAGGUGGUGCAUGGUUGUCGUCAGCUCGUGUCGUGAGAUGUUGGGUUAAGUCCCGCAACGAGCGCAACCCUUGAUCUUAGUUGCCAGCAUUCAGUUGGGCACUCUAAGGUGACUGCCGGUGACAAACCGGAGGAAGGGGGGGAUGACGUCAAAUCAUCAUGCCCCUUAUGACCUGGGCUACACACGUGCUACAAUGGACAGAAC